ACGCUCGACACCUACGGGAGGCAGCAGGUAGGGGAAUAUUGCACAAUGGGGGAAACCCUGAUGCAGCGACGCCGCGUGGAGGAAGAAGGUCUUCGGAUUGUAAACUCCUGUUGUUGGGGAAAAAGAGGAUGGUACCCAACAAGGAAGUGACGGCUAACUACGCGCCAGCAGCCGCGGUAAUCUGAGCGGCUGGCAAGGC
Molecule: ribosomal RNA, 199 nt
Filed under: uncultured bacterium
Lineage: Bacteria
Description: partial 16S ribosomal RNA
Rfam family: Bacterial small subunit ribosomal RNA
Source: RNAcentral